CCCAAGAGACUGGGAUAACACCUGGAAACAGAUGCUAAUACCGGAUAACAACACUAGACGCAUGUCUAGAGUUUAAGAGAUGGUUCUGCUAUCACUCUUGGAUGGACCUGCGGUGCAUUAGCUAGUUGGUAAGGUAACGGCUUACCAAGGCAAUGAUGCAUAGCCGAGUUGAGAGACUGAUCGGCCACAUUGGGACUGAGACACGGCCCAAACUCCUACGGGAGGCAGCAGUC
This 233-nucleotide ribosomal RNA is filed under the name uncultured bacterium. RNAcentral's name for it is "partial 16S ribosomal RNA". It matches the Rfam family "Bacterial small subunit ribosomal RNA", at positions 129 to 355 of the family's 1533-position model. The record is from RNAcentral.